Saimiri boliviensis boliviensis (Bolivian squirrel monkey) is the source of this 1042-nucleotide RNA transcript. It is a transcript of the gene named proteasome 20S subunit beta 10, with no coding region annotated. Lineage: Eukaryota; Metazoa; Chordata; Mammalia; Primates; Cebidae. The record is from RefSeq and is a predicted model, not a curated record.
GGUAAAGACGAAAGUGAAAGCAGAAAGGACAGAAGUGGAGCCAAGCAGAGGACUUUUCAGCUCCUCACUGGCCCCACUUGUCUGACCCACCCGUCUGCCCGCGACGCCUAAUCCGCUCUGCCUGCCCCAAGAUGCUGGAGCCAGCCCUGGAGACCCAAGGGGGCUUCUCCUUCGAGAACUGCCAAAGAAAUGCGUCCUUGGAACGCGUCCUCCCGGGACUCAAGGUCCCUCACGCACGCAAGACCGGGACCACCAUCGCGGGCCUUGUGUUCCAAGACGGGGUCAUUCUGGGCGCCGACACGCGAGCCACUAAUGAUUCUGUUGUGGCGGACAAGAGCUGCGAAAAGAUCCAUUUCAUCGCCCCCAAAAUCUACUGCUGUGGGGCUGGAGUAGCCGCGGACGCCGAGAUGAUUACACGGAUGGUGGCGUCCAAGAUGGAGCUACACGCGUUAUCCACGGGCCGUGAGCCCCGCGUGCCCACGGUCACCCGCAUCCUGCGCCAGACGCUCUUCCGGUACCAGGGCCACGUGGGUGCAUCGCUGAUCGUGGGCGGCGUAGACCUGACUGGACCGCAGCUCUACGGUGUACAUCCCCAUGGCUCCUACAGCCGUAUGCUCUUCACGGCUCUGGGCUCUGGCCAGGACGCGGCCCUGGCGGUGCUAGAAGACCGGUUCCAGCCGAACAUGACGGCCUCACACACCCAUCACCGCAGCUGGAGGCUGCUCAGGGGCUGCUGGUGGAAGCCAUCACUGCAGGAAUCUUGGGUGACCUGGGCUCCGGGGGUAAUGUGGACGCAUGUGUGAUUACGAAGUCAGGCGCCAAGCUACUGAGGACACUGAGCUCGCCCACAGAGCCCGUGAAGAGGUCUGGUCACUACCACUUUGUGCCUGGAACCACAGCUGUCCUGACCCAGACAGUGAAGCCACUAACUCUGGAGCUAGUGGAGGAAACCGUGCAGGCUAUGGAGGUGGAGUAAAAUAGGCUUGAGGCUUAGAGCUUGGAACAAGGGGAAAUAAACCCAGAAAAUACAAACAGCUAAACA